AGGGCACCGCUCAGCCACACAGGCUGGAGAUUUCGGACAACCGUGUCGCGAGCAAUACAAUAGAGAGAGAGAAAAAAAUCCCGGUUGCGGCCGGAGUUCUAACGUAGCGCAUGGGAACUUGCUCCCACCUGUACUUUGCACCCGUACCCGUUUUUGUACCUGUUUUUUGCAUUCCGUUCUUUCUCUGUCUUUUAUCGAUGUUUAUUCACAGUCAGUCACGUUGCCAUGAAAGUGGACGCCUGCCAAGAAGAUAGAGAUGUAGAGAGAUAGCAUUCAUAUCGUACGACGGGAAACCAAGUUACUGUUUCUACGCGAUUCCAUCCACAGUGCUAUGCACACAGGAGAGCCAUGGAAUCCCAACGAAACGUGAAUUACAGCACGCGCGUCGUGCAAUCAACCAGCACGACGUGUGAUGUUUAUAUCUACACUCGUCCCGUAGAUACGCCUACAUCACGAUUCUGGUUUAAGUCGUCUUCUCCGUCCUGUUUGGCCUGCAACCGGAUUUCACACUGGGCAUGUUUCUUCUUCUAUUAUGAUGGAUCCGUGCUGCGAUGCGAAGCCGUAAAGGACCCCGAGACGGAAGCACUUAUUGGAUCCGCCGUAGUAAUAAGUCACCGCCUUCUGAAGGAUCUCAGGGGCUUUUGGUAUCCGCUGCAAAAGGGUGCUGACGUUUCAAUGGAUCGUAUAACUCAAGUGGUGAACAAGAUGAACGUGGACGAGGCUCAAAAGUACGACGUCACUAGGAACAACUGCCAGAAAUGGAUCAAGCGGAUGCUUCAAGGGAUACGUCUGUCAAUGAAGUCAUCGGUAUCGAUACGACCAGUUGUUCUAAAGUGCCUUAAGGAAAAUGCUCGAUGCCCCAUUGUUCUAAAUUCCUUCACGGAUGAGGUCGCAGGAUCCUGACUGUGCCUCCUGCAUUGAGAAUCCUCGUCACAUCUCCAGAAAGGCUCGAGUUAAAUAGCUAUUAUUAGUCCGAUCGACAGUGGCAAAAGUGGUCGUUUGAAGUUGACUGGAUGGUAAUAAAGACAUCCAACCAGAGAAUGUGCUAAAGGGCUGAUUAUUGGAUAUUGCUGAUCAGUACCGGCGAGAUCCUACUAUACCGUUACACGUCUGUGACCGUUUGGUGACGUCUUUCAUUUGCCUGAAGGGAGUGAAUACUUUUGAAAACAGAGCUGUUUGGGGCUUCCACAAUCUUCCAUUGUAUUUAAAAAAUAAAACUAUCGGUCAUCAUUGAA
Long non-coding RNA from Ornithodoros turicata, 1235 nucleotides. RefSeq lists it as uncharacterized. NCBI's taxonomy places the organism in Eukaryota, Metazoa, Arthropoda, Arachnida, Ixodida, Argasidae. The record is from RefSeq and is a predicted model, not a curated record. The transcript has 2 exons.